UACGUAGGGCGCAAGCGUUGUCCGGAAUUAUUGGGCGUAAAGAGCUCGUAGGCGGUUUGUCACGUCUGCUGUGAAAACUGGAGGCUCAACCUCCAGCCUGCAGUGGGUACGGGCAGACUAGAGUGCGGUAGGGGAGAUUGGAAUUCCUGGUGUAGCGGUGGAAUGCGCAGAUAUCAGGAGGAACACCGAUGGCGAAGGCAGAUCUCUGGGCCGUAACUGACGCUGAGGAGCGAAAGCAUGGGGAGCGAACAGG
RNAcentral lists this ribosomal RNA (253 nucleotides) under uncultured bacterium. RNAcentral describes it as "partial 16S ribosomal RNA". It matches the Rfam family "Bacterial small subunit ribosomal RNA", at positions 524 to 776 of the family's 1533-position model. The record is from RNAcentral.